UCAACUGAUUUGAAGAGCUUGCUCAGAUAUGMCKWUGGACAUUGCAAAGAGUGGCGAACGGGUGAGUAACACGUGGGAAACCUACCUCUUAGCAGGGGAUAACAUUUGGAAACAGAUGCUAAUACCGUAUAACAAUGACAACCGCAUGGUUGUUAUUUAAAAGAUGGUUCUGCUAUCACUAAGAGAUGGUCCCGCGGUGCAUUAGCUAGUUGGUAAGGUAAUGGCUUACCAAGGCGAUGAUGCAUAGCCGAGUUGAGAGACUGAUCGGCCACAAUGGGACUGAGACACGGCCCAUACUCCUACGGGAGGCAGCAGUAGGGAAUCUUCCACAAUGGGCGAAAGCCUGAUGGAGCAACGCCGCGUGUGUGAUGAAGGGUUUCGGCUCGUAAAACACUGUUGUAAGAGAAGAAUGACAUUGAGAGUAACUGUUCAAUGUGUGACGGUAUCUUACCAGAAAGGAACGGCUAAAUACGUGCCAGCAGCCGCGGUAAUACGUAUGUUCCAAGCGUUAUCCGGAUUUAUUGGGCGUAAAGCGAGCGCAGACGGUUAUUUAAGUCUGAAGUGAAAGCCCUCAGCUCAACUGAGGAAUUGCUUUGGAAACUGGAUGACUUGAGUGCAGUAGAGGAAAGUGGAACUCCAUGUGUAGCGGUGAAAUGCGUAGAUAUAUGGGAAGAACACCAGUGGCGAAGGCGGGCUUUCUGGACUGUAACUGACGUUGAGGCUCGAAAGUGUGGGUAGCAAACAGGGAUUAGAUACCCUGGUAGUCACACCGUAAACGAUGAGUGCUAKGUGUUUGAGGGUUUCCKCCCUUAAGUGCCGCAGCUAACGCAUUAAAGCACUCCGCCUGGGGAGUACGACCGCCAAGGUUGAAACUCAAAGGRAAUUGACGGGGGACCCGCACAAGCGGUGGGAGCAUGUGGGUUUAAUUCGAARSMAACGCGAAGAACCCUUACCAGGUCUUGACAUCCCCUUGAMAAMCUCCAGAGAUGGAGGCGGUCYCCYUUCCGGGAACAA
Molecule: ribosomal RNA, 1014 nt
Filed under: Weissella sp.
Lineage: Bacteria; Bacillati; Bacillota; Bacilli; Lactobacillales; Lactobacillaceae
Description: bacterial SSU rRNA
Source: RNAcentral